This 468-nucleotide ribosomal RNA is filed under the name uncultured bacterium. RNAcentral describes it as "partial 16S ribosomal RNA". It matches the Rfam family "Bacterial small subunit ribosomal RNA", at positions 28 to 507 of the family's 1533-position model. The record is from RNAcentral.
GACGAACGCUGGCGGCGUGCUUAACACAUGCAAGUCGAACGGAAAGGCCCUGCUUUUGUGGGGUGCUCGAGUGGCGAACGGGUGAGUAACACGUGAGUAACCUGCCCUUGACUUUGGGAUAACUUCAGGAAACUGGGGCUAAUACCGGAUAGGAGCUCCUGCUGCAUGGUGGGGGUUGGAAAGUUUCGGCGGUUGGGGAUGGACUCGCGGCUUAUCAGCUUGUUGGUGGGGUAGUGGCUUACCAAGGCUUUGACGGGUAGCCGGCCUGAGAGGGUGACCGGCCACAUUGGGACUGAGAUACGGCCCAGACUCCUACGGGGGGCAGCAGUGGGGAAUAUUGCACAAUGGGCGGAAGCCUGAUGCAGCAACGCCGCGUGCGGGAUGACGGCCUUCGGGUUGUAAACCGCUUUCGCCUGCGACGAAGCGUGAGUGACGGUAAUGGGUAAAGAAGCACCGGCUAACUACGUG